This 260-nucleotide ribosomal RNA is filed under the name uncultured bacterium. RNAcentral's name for it is "partial 16S ribosomal RNA". It matches the Rfam family "Bacterial small subunit ribosomal RNA", at positions 95 to 354 of the family's 1533-position model. The record is from RNAcentral.
UUGGCGGACGGGUGAGUAACGCGUGGGUAACCUGCCUUACACAGGGGGAGUAACACUUAGAAAUAGGUGCUAAAACCGCAUAAGCGCACAGCUUCGCAUGAAGCGGUGUGAAAAACUCCGGUGGUAUACGAUGGAUCCGCGUCUGAUUAGCCAGUUGGUGGGGUAACGGCCCACCAAAGCGACGAUCAGUAGCCGGCCUGAGAGGGUGAACGGCCACAUUGGGACUGAGACACGGCCCAAACUCCUACGGAAGGCAGCAG